AUUCUAGUCAUAGUGAGUGAGUUUUGGUAAGAUCUGGUUGUUUAAAAGUGUGUAGUAGCUCCCCACUCUGUCUCUUCCUCCUGCUCCAGCCAUACGAAGUGCCAGCACCUGCUUUGCCUUCCGCCACGAUUGAAAUCUCCCUGAGGUCUCCACAGCAGCAGAAGCUGUUAGGCUUCCUGUACAGCCUGCGACACUGUCCUGCAUACUGAUGAAAGUACUGACAUCAGCUGGUCAAAAUGAUCCUGCAAGAAGCCAGCUCACCAAAGAAUGCAGUUUCUGUAUCCUGAUGAUUUCACCCUCCUUACACUGACAAUCAAUGACUUCAAUUUUCCAGCCCCUGACAUUCCAUGAUCUCCUUAAAAAACCCAACCUAGAACUUUUUGGGGAGAUGAAUUUGAGGAGCUCCUCCUCUCUCCUCAUUCAGUGUCCUGCAAUCAUUAAACUCUUUCUCUGCUGCAAACUUUGCUGUCUCAGCUUAAUGGAUAUGUUAUUGCACAGCAGGCAUACGAACCUGUUGUUCCUAUAACACUAUGAUUCCUAUCCAUCAAUCAAUCAUAUUUAUAUUUUAAAAAUAGAACCAACUCUUGCUUGAGGGACUUCAAGACAGAAAUAUCAGGGAGUUCCAUAUGAUAAAAAAAAAUGCAUGCAUUCCUUGUUCCAGCCAUUCAUUACUUUCUCACCUGAAAUAUACAUUGAACAUUUUUUUUCCAAACUAAAUUCCUAAAAUUGUCUAUCUACAUCAAAAACCCUCCCUAAGAUAGGGUUUUACAGAGCAAAUCACUUUGCAGAGGAACAUCAGAACAUGUGUUUCCUAUCGCCAUGAUAACAAAUACUUACAGAAGAGCCAAUGAAAAGCUAUAGUAAUUCAAGUGAAGUGGAGAUUUUGAGUAAAUGUCUAGAUUGCUCAUUCACAGCUCUGGGCUGAGUAGAGUUAUCAGCCAAUAAAAACUUACUGCCUGGUUUCUUUGCUUUGUCAUUCCAUGUACCUAUAGCAGUGUUAAGCUUCCCCUCUGUGCUGGACAAGCAGGUUUCACUGUAGUAGUCACUGCAGUGCAUGCCUGGAAAGCCCAUCUAGGGCGUAUACACCAAACUGCUAGCAAAAUAGGGCUGGAUUGGAAUUAGAAGCUUGAUUUUUUUUUUUUUUUUUUUUUUUUUGUCCAGGGAAGGAAACAGUACACAGCCUAGAAGUUUUUUCAUCUUCAUUUAAAAAUACAGAUAAAAUUUAGCUGCUAGAGCAUUGCUCAAUCCCCCACCAUCUCAAUGAAUUCAUACUGUGUAAAUAUUGUGAUCUUAAUAAAUAAAUACCGAAGCACAGCUGGCGCCUGUAAGAUAUCACUGUUGGGUUGCUGUGGCCCUGUUAUCACCAGAGGGUGUUGCUAAUUAUUCUCGGAAUUGAGGCCCUGGCAUUCUAGGGGAAAGGAAAGCAGAGGAAAGUCAACAGAGGUUGAAACAAAAAUAAAACAUUGUUUGUUUCAGUCCAUAGCAAGGGCAUUCUACCCUUGUGAAAAUCAGAAACACAUAUAGUAUAGGUAUGCAACUGUCUUUUCUCUGUAAAAAUGAUUCAACAACACUAUUUAUUUCAGCCCUUGAUUGCAUUCCAGCUGAUUAAAAUUCACACCACUUGUUUGUAAGGGCAAGAGGAGAUAAUUGGGGUGUUCAAAGGACAGCGCAGGAGAACCUGGAUGUUUU
Molecule: long non-coding RNA, 1689 nt
Filed under: Homo sapiens (human)
Lineage: Eukaryota; Metazoa; Chordata; Mammalia; Primates; Hominidae
Description: HSALNT0114371
Source: RNAcentral